UGCUCCUGAACCACCAGCUUCAGCAAGCCACUUCUCACCCUUGCAAGACUGUCACAACUCCAGGCACCGGGAAUCUGGAAAGAGCACCAAACCAGUGGUUGGGGAACCACUGGACACCGGGGAUGCUAGAACACUACAUCUGGAGCCAACUUGCAAAUAACUACAAGGUCCAGAGGCUGAGGCUGAGGGACAGAGCGGACCUCCAGAAUCCGUGCAUUGAGCUAAGGAUGGAAGAGAGGGCGUACACGGAGUCUCUUAGCUAUGAUAUGAGAAGGAGAGGCACCAUUCACAAGCCCACUCUUCUGGGGCUCCCCUUAGGAAUGGAAGCCUUCCUCUUACGAACCCCAAUAGGAGCCUCUCUCUGACCUCUGCCUACAGUUACUAUUCACCAGGGAUCCAUGUGCUACCUGGACAAGAGACAAGCAAGGGCAGAUUUCAUUUCUGCCUCUUACCAGUUAGUUAUAUAGCUCUGAACAAGUCAGAAGAUAACCAAAGAACUGACCAGGGGCCCCAUCAGGACUAACAGGGCUGCUACAUGCAGGCGUGGGCACACGUCCUCAGUUACUUUAACUGUGGGCAUUUUUUAUCCUGUUUGUUCCGAAUUCCAGGAGCAAUGCUCCAAAUGACCUCAGGGACUAUCCUGAAUGCAUCUAGGGCUGAGCAUGUUGGGGGAAUUGGUCAUCUCUGCAGCUCUGCCUGGGCUCAGACCAGAUCCAAGGUCGUGAGGGUAGACGUGCAGGUGGGAGUGGGGGCUGCCGUGGGCUAGUGGCUGUGGGAGUGGGGAGUUGGCUCCACGUCCCCCCACGUGGGAGGUUGCCUGGAUCUCAGGCAGUCCUGCCUCUCUGGUUAGGGCUUCCCGGCUUUUGCGGCUGUCCUCAGGGGCAAGCUAUUUUAGGUAGCAGUCAAAAUAAAACUGAGAUUAACCCAGAA
RNAcentral lists this long non-coding RNA (930 nucleotides) under Mus pahari (shrew mouse). RNAcentral's name for it is "lncRNA (MGP_PahariEiJ_G0003519.1)". The record is from RNAcentral. Lineage: Eukaryota; Metazoa; Chordata; Mammalia; Rodentia; Muridae.